ACCCGGGUAGUUUAAUUAGAAUAUAACGUUGAAAGCGUUGGGGUGUUUCCUUGGGUG
This 57-nucleotide transfer RNA is filed under the name Proasellus racovitzai. RNAcentral's name for it is "transfert RNA-F(TTC)". The record is from RNAcentral. Lineage: Eukaryota; Metazoa; Arthropoda; Malacostraca; Isopoda; Asellidae.